Molecule: ribosomal RNA, 473 nt
Filed under: uncultured bacterium
Lineage: Bacteria
Description: bacterial SSU rRNA
Rfam family: Bacterial small subunit ribosomal RNA
Source: RNAcentral
UGGGGAAUAUUGCGCAAUGGGCGAAAGCCUGACGCAGCAACGCCGCGUGAGUGAUGAAGGCCUUCGGGUCGUAAAGCUCUGUCGGAGGGAACGAAUGCUCUUGAGGUUAACAGCCUCAGGAAAUGACGGUACCCUCAAAGGAAGCACCGGCUAACUCUGUGCCAGCAGCCGCGGUAAUACAGAGGGUGCAAGCGUUAAUCGGACUUACUGGGCGUAAAGGGUGCGUAGGCGGAAGGAUAAGUUAGUUGUGAAAGGCCUGGGCUUAACCUAGGAACUGCAAUUAAGACUGUCCAUCUAGAGUUGAGUAGAGGGGAGCGGAAUUUCCGGUGUAGCGGUGAAAUGCGUAGAUAUCGGAAGGAACAUCAGUUGCGAAGGCGGCUCUCUGGACUCAAACUGACGCUGAGGCACGAAAGCGUGGGUAGCGAACAGGAUUAGAUACCCGAGUAGUCCCUGAGCGGGCUGGCAAGGCGCAU